CUUAUAUGACUAGUGCGUUGCUAGUAUUGUCUAGAAUGCAUCAGUUUCCUUCAAUCGAAUAUGUUUCUUACUAUUCUUUCGUGUCAUGCCAUGCCUUCGUUGGUUCAACUAGUUUUGUUAUGUUACUCACAAUUCUGUCAUAUCAUCUCAUGUUUAGUUAGUUUAACUAGUUUCUGUUAUAUUACUCGUUGUUCUAUUGUGUCAUUGGUUCUUUGAUGUUGCACUACUCUGGCUUUACUUCUGAUAAUUGAGAAUAGAAAUCGGAUAUUUUUUAUUUAAUUUAGAAAGUAAAUAUUUUCUCAAUAUUUUCUAAUGAAUAUGUUUUGCGACAAGCCUAGAGGUAAGUCACGGAUUUCGAAGGUAAUGACAUGGUUUCAAAAUUAAUAACUUUUAAAACUUUAGUAGUGUAGUUUAAAUACUACUUCCCUUACUAAAUUUUAUAGAACUCACCCCAAUCCAUUUCCCCACAGAUGAUAAUGAUAGUGAGGAAUCACUUCUUGAGCUACCCCUUGAAGCUUGCUUGGAUCCAUUUACAGAUCUGUAGUGGACAUUUGAAUGCAAUUGAUGACUGUACUCUGAUGAACUAUUCUUUUUGUAGUGUUAGAAGUGGCUAGACACAUGUUGUAUAUAUUUUGGUCAGCUAUCUUCUUGGUCUCUAGUGUAUUUGAACAUCAAAUAUUUUGUAAGAGAUGAUUUUUUUCUUCCGCUGUAUAAAUUUAAUUUAUACUCAUAUCUAUUAAUGUAUCAGACUCUUUUACCCAUCAGGUAAUGGGAUGUCACAUAAUCCAUUGAUACCCCUGACUCAUUGUCGGUCAGGUACCCAGCUCCUACAAAUCCCCUGCCUCAUCGACUAGGUUUGCUGUAUAGCUCCAACUAACACAAAUUCCUCAUCUCAUUGCUUAGGUUCAAUGUGUAGCCCGUGCAAAUCCCCUAACAUAUUGUCUAGGUUCACUACACCCACCUGGCAUGCUAUAGGUGGGAGCCGAGCACUCUCCCCAGUAGGUGAUGCACCCUCAAAACUAAAUUCAUCAUAAAAGUCACAAUAUCCCAGUCUCAAUAAAAGCAUCACAUGAUUAAAUUUUAUCAUCAUCAAUAUACAUGUAAAUCACAAAUCCAUGUAAAUAUAUAUAAAAUUACUUCAAAGCUACCUAUACUAAUGCAAUCACAAUAUCUACUUACCUUAAGUCCUAUGCAAAGUUAGACUCAAAGAGAGUCUCUACUUACACAAUCCUUGAAUCUGUUUAUUUACUUUAGCAAAGUCUCCCCCUAAGAAUACUUCAAUUUCCUAUUUUCAAAUGGGCAGUGUCUCCCUUUAGUUUAUUUCAAUUUUUUACUAGAAUUUUGACGAAGUCUCCCCUUAGUUUUUCUCAAUUUUCUACCCAAAUUGCAAUAGAGUCUCCCCUUAAAAAUAUUAAUAAUGUUUAACUCAAAAAUUCCUUCUUGAUAUAGAAAUCACAUAUCUAAAAAAGGGUUUAAAUGAUCUUACCUUAUAUCACCCGCAACCUUAAUUUUGGCAAAGUCCCAACUCAGUUUUUAACUUUUUUCACCUAGAAAUUCGACAGAGUUUCAGGAUAUUUUUGAGAAAUAUCUAACCUCAAAAAUAUCUCUCACAUUAAUAUAAAACUACUCUCAAAAUUUAAAGAAAAACCGAAUUAAAAUGAGAGAGAUAUGCUUUCCAUCACCCCCGAUCAAUAGGAGAGGAAAGCCAAGGUGUUGAUUGCCUAUCCAAUGUGGGACAUUUUGGUUUGCACUUUACUUCCUAACAAAUGUGGGAUAUUUGUAACUUUAACUUCCUAAUCGAUGUGGGACUUUUGUUGUUAUGAUUUUUCUAACCGGUGUGGGACUUUUGUCAUUCUAAAAUUCUUAAUCGAUGUGUGAUUUUUGGAUCUUAACUAUCACACAUUAUUUUAGGGUUUCUUCCCGCUCUAGAGGCUUUCAAGCUCAUCAAAACUCCUCCCACCACUUUAUCCUCCUUUGAGGUGCUUCCAUACAAAAUUUGGGCCAUUCCAACUCUGUUGGGUCACUUUUGUGUAAUGUCUCAACUCCUCCUCAAAGAAGGAAACACUAUC
Molecule: long non-coding RNA, 2069 nt
Filed under: Carica papaya (papaya)
Lineage: Eukaryota; Viridiplantae; Streptophyta; Magnoliopsida; Brassicales; Caricaceae
Description: long non-coding RNA (CPAP_LNC014528)
Source: RNAcentral